RNAcentral lists this ribosomal RNA (438 nucleotides) under uncultured bacterium. RNAcentral describes it as "partial 16S ribosomal RNA". It matches the Rfam family "Bacterial small subunit ribosomal RNA", at positions 339 to 795 of the family's 1533-position model. The record is from RNAcentral.
CUACGGGUCGCUGCAGUGAGGAAUAUUGCACAAUGGAGGAAACUCUGAUGCAGCAACGCCGCGUGGAGGAUGACGCAUUUCGGUGUGUAAACUCCUUUUAUAUGUCAAGAAAAUGACGGUAGCAUAUGAAUAAGCACCGGCUAACUCCGUGCCAGCAGCCGCGGUAAUACGGAGGGUGCAAGCGUUACUCGGAAUCACUGGGCGUAAAGGACGCGUAGGCGGGAUAUCAAGUCAGGUGUGAAAUCCUACAGCCUAACUGUAGAACUGCACUUGAAACUGGUAACCUAGAGUAUGGGAGGGGGAGAUGGAAUUAGUGGGGUAGGGGUAAAUCCGUAGAUAUCACUAGGAAUAUCUAAAGCGAAGGCGAUCUCCUGGAACAUAACUGACGCUAAGGCGUGAAAGCGUGGGGAGCAAACAGGAUUAGAUACCCUCGUAGUC